This 803-nucleotide ribosomal RNA is filed under the name uncultured Pelagibacterales bacterium. Its description in RNAcentral is "SSU rRNA". It matches the Rfam family "Bacterial small subunit ribosomal RNA", at positions 32 to 883 of the family's 1533-position model. Lineage: Bacteria; Pseudomonadati; Pseudomonadota; Alphaproteobacteria; Candidatus Pelagibacterales. The record is from RNAcentral.
UACGCUGGCGNCACGCCUAACACAUGCAAGUCGAACGAAGUAGCAAUACUUAGUGGCGAACGGGUGAGUAUAAUGUGGGUAUCUGCCCUUUGGUUUGGAAUAACACGAGGAAACUUGUGCUAAUACCGGAUAAGCCUUCACAGGGAAAGCUUUAGCGCCAAAGGAUGAGCCUGCACUUGAUUAGCUAGUUGGUAAGGUAAUGGCUUACCAAGGCAACGAUCAAUAGCUGUUCUAAGAGGAAGACCAGCCACAUUGGGACUGAGACACGGCCCAAACUCCUACGGGAGGCAGCAGUGGGGAAUCUUGCACAAUGGGGGAAACCCUGAUGCAGCGAUGCCGCGUGAGUGAAGAAGGCCCUUGGGUUGUAAAGCUCUUUCGUCGGGGAAGAAAAUGACUGUACCCGAAUAAGAAGGUCCGGCUAACUUCGUGCCAGCAGCCGCGGUAAUACGAAGGGACCUAGCGUAGUUCGGAAUUACUGGGCUUAAAGAGCACGUAGGUGGUUAAGAAAGUUGGUGGUGAAAUCCCAAGGCUUAACCUUGGAACUGCCACCAAAACUUUUUAACUAGAGUAUGAUUGAGGUAAGCGGAAUUUCUAGUGUAGAGGUGAAAUUCGUAGAUAUUAGAAAGAACACCAAUUGCGAAGGCAGCUUUCUGGAUCAUUACUGACACUGAGGUGCGAAAGCAUGGGUAGCGAAGAGGAUUAGAUACCCUCGUAGUCCAUGCCGUAAACGAUGUGUGCUAGACGUUGGGAAUUUAUUUUUCAGUGUCGCAGCUAAAGCGUUAAGCACACCGCCNGGGGAGUAC